GGUGGGGUGACCGAGCGGUCUAAGGUGAUAGUCUUGAAAACUAUUGUGGGCGUAAGCCCACCCAGAGUUCGAAUCUCUGCCCCACCG
Molecule: transfer RNA, 87 nt
Filed under: Candidatus Omnitrophica bacterium CG11_big_fil_rev_8_21_14_0_20_41_12
Lineage: Bacteria; Pseudomonadati; Candidatus Omnitrophota
Description: tRNA-Ser
Rfam family: tRNA
About the family: Transfer RNA (tRNA) molecules are approximately 80 nucleotides in length. Their secondary structure includes four short double-helical elements and three loops (D, anti-codon, and T loops).
Source: RNAcentral